UACCACAGAGCAGGUAUCAGGCUCAACAACGUUAGCCCAUCACACCUUGCCAAGCCACAUCCCCACGGAUAUUACAGCAGUGAUUAACAUUAGGCAAUAAGCACCUACAAGCUUGACCUAACUAAAAUUUUAUUUGGCCGGCAAAUCUCGUGCCAGCAGCCGCGGUUACACGGGAGGCCAAAAAUAAGAUAUAACGGCGUAAAGAGUGACACAAGAGCCCGACCCUUCAACAGGACCCCAAAAAUCUUAUCUCAGAGAUGAAACCCUAAGAUAUCAAGAACCCUAACCAUCCCUAAAUUGGCCAUCUAAAUUCACGAAAGCUGGGAUACAAACUAGGAUU
Molecule: ribosomal RNA, 340 nt
Filed under: Varanus albigularis (white-throated monitor)
Lineage: Eukaryota; Metazoa; Chordata; Lepidosauria; Squamata; Varanidae
Description: partial 12S ribosomal RNA
Source: RNAcentral